CAUACAUACAUGCAUACAUACAUACAUACAUACAAGACAUACAAGACGCAUGCAAUGCAACAAGCCAGCAGGCAAAUUGAUCAUGGAGCUUAAUUAAUUAGCUUGCACAACAAAAUGAUGGAUGUAGUAUUGACAUGAUGACGCCUGUAUGUAGCUAGUAUGAAUGGGAUUCGUUCGAUGCAUGGAUCCAUCAUCAGUAGACUUCGACGUUCCAUUGCUCGCCCUUCUUGAGCUUCUUCUUGUACUCAAACCAGUCGAUCCCGUCCUUCGCUGCGAGGUCGGUCAUGAUUUCGUCGAUGCCCUUCUCCAUGCCCUUGAGCCCGCACAUGUAGACGUAGGUGUUGUCCUUCUUGAGAAGCUCCCACAGCUCCUCCUUGUACUCCGCCAUCCGCGUCUGGAUGUACAUCUUCUCCCCGGCCGCGUUCGUCUGCUCCCGGCUCACCGCAAAGUCCAGCCGGAAGUUGUGCGGAGCAAUCUCCUUCAUCUUCUCCAGCUCCUCCUUGUACAGCAGGGUGUCGCUUGUCGGAACUCCCAAGAACAGCCAAGCAAGCCCGGUGUACUGCAUAUACGGAUAUCAGUAUGUUCAUUCAUUGGAACAUAUGGUUGGUUCAUAUGGUUGGAGCACCAACUAACCUUGUAGUCGUCGUGCUCCUCGAAGAAC
RNAcentral lists this long non-coding RNA (661 nucleotides) under Setaria viridis. Its description in RNAcentral is "long non-coding RNA (SVIR_LNC000003)". Lineage: Eukaryota; Viridiplantae; Streptophyta; Magnoliopsida; Poales; Poaceae. The record is from RNAcentral.